AGUGAACGCUGGCGGUAGGCCUAACGCAUGCAAGUCGAACGGCAGCACAGUAAGAGCUUGCUCUUACGGGUGGCGAGUGGCGGACGGGUGAGGAAUACAUCGGAAUCUACUUUUUCGUGGGGGAUAACGUAGGGAAACUUACGCUAAUACCGCAUACGACCUACGGGUGAAAGCAGGGGAUCUUCGGACCUUGCGCGAUUGAAUGAGCCGAUGUCGGAUUAGCCAGUUGGCGGGGUAAAGGCCCACCAAGGCGACGAUCCGUAGCUGGUCUGAGAGGAUGAUCAGCCACACUGGAACUGAGACACGGUCCAGACUCCUACGGGAGGCAGCAGUGGGGAAUAUUGGACAAUGGGCGCAAGCCUGAUCCAGCCAUACCGCGUGGGUGAAGAAGGCCUUCGGGUUGUAAAGCCCUUUUGUUGGGAAAGAAAAGCAGCAGGUUAAUACCCCGCUGUUCUGACGGUACCCAAAGAAUAAGCACCGGCUAACUUCGUG
Molecule: ribosomal RNA, 492 nt
Filed under: uncultured bacterium
Lineage: Bacteria
Description: partial 16S ribosomal RNA
Rfam family: Bacterial small subunit ribosomal RNA
Source: RNAcentral